CCUACGGGGGACAGCAGUGGGGAAUAUUGCACAAUGGGCGCAAGCCUGAUGCAGCCAUGCCGCGUGUGUGAAGAAGGCCUUCGGGUUGUAAAGCACUUUCAGCGGGGAGGAAGGCGUUAAGGUUAAUAACCUUGGCGAUUGACGUUACCCGCAGAAGAAGCACCGGCUAACUCCGUGCCAGCAGCCGCGGUAAUACGGAGGGUGCAAGCGUUAAUCGGAAUUACUGGGCGUAAAGCGCACGCGGGCGGUCUGUCAAGUCGGAUGUGAAAUCCCCGGGCUCAACCUGGGAACUGCAUUCGAAACUGGCAGGCUAGAGUCUUGUAGAGGGGGGUAGAAUUCCAGGUGUAGCGGUGAAAUGCGUAGAGAUCUGGAGGAAUACCGGUGGCGAAGGCGGCCCCCUGGACAAAGACUGACGCUCAGGUGCGAAAGCGUGGGGAGCAAACAGGAUUAGAUACCCUAGUAGUC
This 465-nucleotide ribosomal RNA is filed under the name uncultured Klebsiella sp. RNAcentral describes it as "bacterial SSU rRNA". It matches the Rfam family "Bacterial small subunit ribosomal RNA", at positions 338 to 795 of the family's 1533-position model. The record is from RNAcentral. Lineage: Bacteria; Pseudomonadati; Pseudomonadota; Gammaproteobacteria; Enterobacterales; Enterobacteriaceae.